This 1407-nucleotide ribosomal RNA is filed under the name uncultured bacterium. Its description in RNAcentral is "bacterial SSU rRNA". It matches the Rfam family "Bacterial small subunit ribosomal RNA". The record is from RNAcentral.
GAGUUUGAUCAUGGCUCAGGACGAACGCUGGCGGCGUGCUUAACACAUGCAAGUCGAACGGAAAGGCCCCCACUUUUUUGGUGGGGGUGCUCGAGUGGCGAACGGGUGAGUAACACGUGGGUGAUCUGCCCUGUACUUCGGGAUAAGCUUGGGAAACUGGGUCUAAUACCGGAUAGGACCAUGGUUUAGUGUCUCAUGGUGGAAAAAUAUUGUUUUGGUGCAGGAUGAGCUCGCGGCCUAUCAGCUUGUUGGUGGGGUAAUGGCCUACCAAGGCGUCGACGGGUAGCCGGCCUGAGAGGGUGGACGGCCACAUUGGGACUGAGAUACGGCCCAGACUCCUACGGGAGGCAGCAGUGGGGAAUAUUGCACAAUGGGCGCAAGCCUGAUGCAGCGACGCCGCGUGGGGGAUGACGGCCUUCGGGUUGUAAACUCCUUUCGUUAGGGACGAAGCCGCACCUUUUUUUGGGUGUGGUGACGGUACCUUUGUUAAGAAGCACCGGCUAACUACGUGCCAGCAGCCGCGGUAAUACGUAGGGUGCGAGCGUUGUCCGGAAUUACUGGGCGUAAAGAGCUCGUAGGUGGUUUGUUGCGUCGUCUGUGAAAUUCCGGGGCUUAACUUCGGGGUGGCAGGCGAUACGGGCAUAACUAGAGUGCUGUAGGGGAGACUGGAAUUCCUGGUGUAGCGGUGGAAUGCGCAGAUAUCAGGAGGAACACCGAUGGCGAAGGCAGGUCUCUGGGCAGUAACUGACGCUGAGGAGCGAAAGCAUGGGGUGCGAACAGGAUUAGAUACCCUGGUAGUCCAUGCUGUAAACGGUGGGCGUUAGGUGUGGGGACCGGUUUGGUUUCUGUGCCGUAGCUAACGCAUUAAGCGCCCCGCCUGGGGAGUACGGCCGCAAGGCUAAAACUCAAAGGAAUUGACGGGGGCCCGCACAAGCGGCGGAGCAUGUGGAUUAAUUCGAUGCAACGCGAAGAACCUUACCUGGGUUUGACAUGCACCAGACGGUUGUAGAGAUACGUACCUCCCUUUGUGGUUGGUGUGCAGGUGGUGCAUGGUUGUCGUCAGCUCGUGUCGUGAGAUGUUGGGUUAAGUCCCGCAACGAGCGCAACCCUUGUCUUAUGUCGCCAGCACUUUGGGUGGGGACUCAUGAGAGACUGCCGGGGUUAACUCGGAGGAAGGUGGGGAUGACGUCAAAUCAUCAUGCCCUUUAUGCCCAGGGCUUCACACAUGCUACAAUGGUUAGUACAACGCGCGGCAAAACCUGUGAGGGUGAGCGAAUCGCUGAAAGCUAAUCUCAGUUCGGAUUGGGGUCUGCAACUCGACCCCAUGAAAGUCGGAGUCGCUAGUAAUCGCAGAAUCAGCAAUGCUGCGGUGAAAUACGUUCCCGGGCCUUGCACACACCGCCCGUC